Molecule: long non-coding RNA, 1765 nt
Filed under: Mus spicilegus (steppe mouse)
Lineage: Eukaryota; Metazoa; Chordata; Mammalia; Rodentia; Muridae
Description: lncRNA (ENSMSIG00000016474.1)
Source: RNAcentral
UGGAAUUUUACAGUGAGGGCAGGGUUGGACUGUGGGUGGGGAACCUAAGGUGAGAGGGAGGAAGCCCACCCCUCUCAUUGGUGAAUGAUACACUGUGGUGGACCAGAUGCACUCAUUUUUCUUGAGUCCAUGAAUACCAGCUUUGCUAUGGCAAGCCAUCUCUAAUUUCUGGUUGUGUGACCAUAAAGCAGUAUCUUCCUUGGUCUUCCUAGAGAUUGUGACAGUACAAGGAAACCACCCAGUGCUGAAUACUAAGCAGAGCCUAGGGCCCCAGUAGAACCGGUUACUUCUUUUCUAGGUGAAGAUGUGGGGAAGACCCAAGAGGAGAACCUAGGGCUACCUAGUUACCAGGGACAAGGGACAAAUGAGCCACUCCAGCGCUUCGUGGGAAGCUGCCCACUGCCGACCACAUACAGCAGGCAGCUUUUCUCUUAUAGCUCUCGUGUUGCGUUUCUUAAUUUAAAAUGGGAAAUUCCGUAUUUGGAACCUCAUCAAUCAUUUUUGUGAGCUGGGCUCUGCGGAAAGCAUGGAGAAACAUUUAGAUUUGUGGCUUGAACUGUUGAAAAUGGGAAACAAUUUAAAUAAUAUUAACAUUUUAACAGCCUCCACUCAGGGCUCUGUGAAAUUAACUAUUAUCUCUUGGAGUGUUUGUUAAAUUCAGCAGUGGGUAAGUGGCAGGUUCUGUGGGCGGUAUUUGUGUUUGGGAGGUUGGGUGGGACCCCGUGUGAGGUCUCGUGGGGCUAGUAUCAUUGAGGCCUGCUGGCAGUACCAACACUCCCAUGCCCUCGGCAAUGGGGGCAUCCUUCUGCAGUCGGGACUGUGGACCCAGCAGAACUGAGUGUUGAGGCUAAAUAGUGACCAUUCACAGACCCUGCCCUCAAGGAUCCCCAGUGGUCAGGGAGGAGACCAGAAAAGUACACAGUGGUACUGGACAUGGGCUACACAUGAAAAGGGAGUACUGGGGCCUGCGAAGAGGAAAUCAUGGGUACUUCCUGGUGGAGGUUGCAUCUGAAGUGAUCCUCAGCACCAGGCAACCAGAGAAUGAGGGACAGCUCAUCUCCAAGCUGCUGCUUUUCUCUGCUCCAUCCAAAGGCCUCACAGAUGCUCCAUCAGUCUGAAACGCUGUGCUCUCUCUUGUCAUCACACUGCUCCUGACUCAAGCAGCUAUAAAUUGUUAGGGCUCUCCCUGCUAGUUUCACCACCAGCUUGUUUCCCUCUCAUUGAUCCAACCUGCAUCUGUAUCUUUGAUGGAUAAGCAGUUCUUCAGACUGUUUAUACCUCUGGCUCUAAACUGAAACUACCAACAGCAACAGUAGCAUCAGCUUCAGCAUCAACCUUAGCAUCAGUAUCGGCUUCAGCAGCAGCAGCAACAACAACAACAGCAGCAGCAUCUGUGUCAAAGCCAGGAUCAUCAAGGACCUUGUUAGAAGUAGAAAUUAUGUGGCUCCAUUCCAGAUCUACUGAAGCAGAGACUGCAGUGAGGCCCACCAAUGGGAAAGCCCUCCAGAUGGCCUUCAUACAUUGUAGAAUCAACAAAUAGUUGUUUGAGCUGUAGGCCAGUGUGCCUAGCCAACUAGGAGACUGAGGCAGGAGGGUUACAAGUUCAAGGCAUUUAUGCGUUAAAGAGUGAAACCCUGUCCUCAAAUAUAAAGUCAAAAGCAAGGCUGGGAGUGUGGCUUAGAUAGAACACUUGCCUCACAUGUGCAAAGCUCUAGGCUUCUUUCCCAUCACUGCACAAGCGUUUUAUCUUGUUCCCAGCCCCGCU